Molecule: ribosomal RNA, 505 nt
Filed under: Acalles ptinoides
Lineage: Eukaryota; Metazoa; Arthropoda; Insecta; Coleoptera; Curculionidae
Description: eukaryotic LSU rRNA
Rfam family: Eukaryotic large subunit ribosomal RNA
Source: RNAcentral
GCUUAUACUCGACCGUCAGCGGCACGUGCGAUCGCGCGUUUCGGCGUGCGGUCACGAAGCCCUGACGAGUAGGAGGGUCGCGGCGGUGAGCGCAGAAGGGCUGGCCGCGAGGCCGUCUGGAGCCGCCGUCGGUGCAGAUCUUGGUGGUAGUAGCAAAUACUCCAGCGAGGCCCUGGAGGACUGACGUGGAGAAGGGUUUCGUGUGAACAGCCGUUGCACACGAGUCAGUCGAUCCUAAGCCCUAGGCGAAAGCCGAUGUCGAUGCGGUGUGGAUUUAUAUAUCUUUUUUUUACGACGGCGACGACGACGACCGCGUCGACGACGACGACGACGACGAAGAACGAGAUAAUAGUUAAUUCGUUUCUUCGACGUACGACGUACGACGACGGCGUCGACGACGACGACGACGUAUACACGAGAAGUUUCGAUCGAACACACCCAUCGGGCGAAAGGGAAUCCGGUUCCUAUUCCGGAACCUGGCAGCGGAACCGUCAAAAAGUCGGGC